RNAcentral lists this ribosomal RNA (824 nucleotides) under uncultured bacterium. Its description in RNAcentral is "bacterial SSU rRNA". It matches the Rfam family "Bacterial small subunit ribosomal RNA", at positions 8 to 817 of the family's 1533-position model. The record is from RNAcentral.
AGAGUUUGAUCCUGGCUCAGAAUGAACGCUGGCGGCGUGCCUAACACAUGCAAGUCGUACGAGAAAGGGGCUUCGGCCCUGAGUAGAGUGGCGCACGGGUGAGUAACGCGUGGGUAAUCUACCCUUGGAUUUGGGAUAACUCUGCGAAAGUGGAGCUAAUACCGGAUAGUCUGGCUUUAAAUAAGAAGUCGGUAAAGGAUGCCUCUGCAUAUGCAUUCGUCCGAGGAUGAGCCCGCGUCUCAUUAGCUAGUUGGUAGGGUAAUGGCCUACCAAGGCAACGAUGAGUAGCUGGUCUGAGAGGAUGAUCAGCCACACUGGAACUGAAACACGGUCCAGACUCCUACGGGAGGCAGCAGUGGGGAAUAUUGCGCAAUGGGCGAAAGCCUGACGCAGCAACGCCGUGUGAGGGAUGAAGGCUUUCGGGUCGUAAACCUCUGUCGGAAGGGAAGAACGGGCAUUGGUCUAAUAGGCCUUUGUUUUGACGGUACCUUUAGAGGAAGCACCGGCUAACUCCGUGCCAGCAGCCGCGGUAAUACGGAGGGUGCAAGCGUUAUUCGGAAUUACUGGGCGUAAAGCGCACGUAGGCGGCCUUGUAAGUCAGGGGUGAAAUCCCACGGCUCAACCGUGGAACUGCCUUUGAAACUGCAGGGCUUGAAUCCUGGAGAGGGUGGCGGAAUUCCUGGUGUAGGAGUGAAAUCCGUAGAUAUCAGAGGAACACCGGUGGCGAAGCGGCCACCUGGACAGGUAUUGACGCUGAGUGCGAAAGUGGUGGGGAGCAAACAGGAUUAGAUACCCUGGUAGUCCACACCGUAACGAUGGAUACU